UGGUAUAAGUUUAAUCGUUUAUCGAGAAACCGCGAACGGCUCAUUACAAUGGCCAUUAUUUACUUGAUCUUGAUUGUCUAAAUGGAUAACUGUGGAAAAGCUAGAGCUAAUACAUGCACUAAAGCUUUGUCCUUACGGAAAAGCGCAUUUAUUAGAACAAAACCACGCGGCUUCGGCUGCUUCUUGUUGACUCAGAAUAACUUAGCUGACCGCAUGGCCUUGUGCCGGCGGCGUGUCUUUCAAGCGUCCACUUUAUCAACUUGACGGGAGCAUAAUCGACUCCCGUGGUGGUGACGGAUAACGGAGGAUCAGGGUUCGACUCCGGAGAAGGGGCCUGAGAAAUGGCCACUACGUCUAAGGAUGGCAGCAGGCGCGCAAAUUACCCACUCUCGGCUCGAGGAGGUAGUGACGAGAAAUAACGAGACUGUUCUCUUUGAGGCCGGUCAUCGGAAUGGGUACAAUUUAAACCCUUUAACGAGUAUCAAGCAGAGGGCAAGUCUGGUGCCAGCAGCCGCGGUAAUUCCAGCUCUGCAAAUACAUAGAAUUAUUGCUGCGGUUAGAAAGCUCAUAGUUGGAUUCGUAUCGAUACCUUGGAACCCUUCGGGGUGUUAUCGAUUUAUCGUAAUGUUCGGUUUUGAGUCCUUAACAGGAUUCUUAACAGGCAUUGCAAGUUUACUUUGAACAAAUCAGAGUGCUUCAAACAGGCGUUUUCGCUUGAAUGAUCGUGCAUGGAAUAAUAGAAAAUGAUUUCGGUUCAGUUUUAUUGGUUUUACGGACUGAGAUAAUGGUUAACAGAGACAAACGGGGGCAUUUGUAUGGUCCCGUGAGAGGUGAAAUUCUUGGACCGUGGCCAGACAAACUACAGCGAAAGCAUUUGCCAAGAAUGUUUUUAUUAAUCAAGAACGAAAGUCAGAGGUUCGAAGGCGAUCAGAUACCGCCCUAGUUCUGACCGUAAACGAUGCCAACUAGCGAUCCGCCGAUGGAAAUUAUAUUGCCUUGGUGGGGAGCUUCCCGGAAACGAAAGUCUUCCGGUUCCGGGGGAAGUAUGGUUGCAAAGCUGAAACUUAAAGGAAUUGACGGAAGGGCACCACCAGGAGUGGAGCCUGCGGCUUAAUUUGACUCAACACGGGGAAACUCACCCGGCCCGGACACUGUGAGGAUUGACAGAUUGAUAGCUUUUUCAUGAUUCAGUGGAUGGUGGUGCAUGGCCGUUCUUAGUUCGUGGAGUGAUUUGUCUGGUUUAUUCCGAUAACGAGCGAGACUCUAACCUACUAAAUAGUUGGUACAUACUCUUAGUGUAUACAGCUUCUUAGAGGGAUUUGCGGCGUUCAGCCGAAAGAAAUUGAGCAAUAACAGGUCUGUGAUGCCCUUAGAUGUCCGGGGCUGCACGCGCGCUACACUGGCAAAAUCAACGUGCUUGUCCUACCCUGAAAGGGGCGGGUAAACCAUUGAAAAUUUGCCGUGAUUGGGAUCGGAAAUUGCAAUUAUUUUCCGUGAACGAGGAAUUCCAAGUAAGUGCGAGUCAUCAGCUCGCGUUGAUUACGUCCCUGCCCUUUGUACACACCGCCCGUCGCUGCCCGGGACUGAGCCAUUUCGAGAAAUUUGGGGACCGUUGAUUUAAUUUUUCUAAAUUACUUUGAUGGAAACCAA
RNAcentral lists this ribosomal RNA (1650 nucleotides) under Meloidogyne morocciensis. RNAcentral describes it as "SSU rRNA". It matches the Rfam family "Eukaryotic small subunit ribosomal RNA". The record is from RNAcentral. Lineage: Eukaryota; Metazoa; Nematoda; Chromadorea; Rhabditida; Meloidogynidae.